AAUGAACGUUGGCGGCGUGGAUUAGGCAUGCAAGUCGAGCGAGAACCCAGCAAUGGGGGACAGCGGCGAAAGGGACAGUAAUGUGUAGAUCAUCUGCCCUCAGGCCCGGGAUAGCUGCGGGAAACUGCAGGUAAUACCGGAUAACAUCUCCGGAUCAAAGGUGUGAUUCCGCCUGAGGAUGAGUCUACAUCCUAUUAGCUAGUUGGCAGGGUAACGGCCUACCAAGGCGAUGAUGGGUAGCGGGUGUGAGAGCACGACCCGCGUCAUUGGGACUGAGACACUGCCCAGACACCUACGGGUGGCUGCAGUCGAGAAUCUUCGGCAAUGGGCGCAAGCCUGACCGAGCGACGCCGCGUGCGGGAUGAAGGCCUUCGGGUUGUAAACCGCUGUCAGAGGGGAGGAAGGCUCCGUGAAGAACGGGGUUUGACCUAUCCUAGGAGGAAGUACGGGCUAAGUUCGUGCCAGCAGCCGCAGUAA
RNAcentral lists this ribosomal RNA (477 nucleotides) under uncultured bacterium. RNAcentral describes it as "bacterial SSU rRNA". It matches the Rfam family "Bacterial small subunit ribosomal RNA", at positions 29 to 523 of the family's 1533-position model. The record is from RNAcentral.